CGAGCCUGCAGCCGCAGCGCAGGGCAGGGGAGCGGCGGCGCGGCAGGCACAGCCUCCCGGCGGGCGCCCGGCGGAGCAGCAGGGCGGGCGGGCGUUGGCUGCGCCCGGCCCCGCCGCGCCGCCCCCGGCUCCGCCCGGCGCUCCCAUGGCGCGGCGGCCCCGCGCCAGGUGAGCAGCGCUGCCUGUUGCGCCGAGCGGAGCGGAGCGGAGCGGAGCCGCCGGGGCCACACGCCGAGAAGUUUUGCGAGAAGGCGCCGCGAUGAGCUGGACUGUUUAGAAAGAAAAUGUAGAGUUAUCAUCUGCAAUCUGAUGUGGUCUUCCUUUUCAGAAAAAAAUACUGUUUCUGGCAUUCAUGUUGGGAGAGAGGAGCCGUCCUUUCCAAGACUUUCAGUAUAGGUAUGAAAAUGUUCAAAGAGCUGACAGUUAGUAAUUAUUAUUCAUUGGCGCUACUUUGCUUCUAGUACAGUGAA
RNAcentral lists this long non-coding RNA (470 nucleotides) under Junco hyemalis (dark-eyed junco). RNAcentral's name for it is "lncRNA (ENSJHYG00000008204.1)". The record is from RNAcentral. Lineage: Eukaryota; Metazoa; Chordata; Aves; Passeriformes; Passerellidae.